This 330-nucleotide unclassified non-coding RNA is filed under the name uncultured fungus. RNAcentral's name for it is "partial contains 5.8S ribosomal RNA and internal transcribed spacer 2". The stretch from base 1 to 133 matches the Rfam family "5.8S ribosomal RNA", at positions 22 to 154 of the family's 154-position model. The record is from RNAcentral. Lineage: Eukaryota; Fungi.
UGGUUCUGGCAUCGAUGAAGAACGCAGCGAAAUGCGAUAAGUAAUGUGAAUUGCAGAAUUCAGUGAAUCAUCGAAUCUUUGAACGCACAUUGCGCCCGCCAGUAUUCUGGCGGGCAUGCCUGUUCGAGCGUCAUUUCAACCCUCAAGCCUCACGGUUUGGUGUUGGGGAUCGGCCGCGACCUCCGCGGCCGUCCCUCAAAUACAGUGGCGGCCUCGCUGUAGCGUCCCUCGCGUAGUAGCUUAAACUCGCUUUGGAUCGCGGCGACGGCCACGCCGUAAAACCCCCCAAUUCUGAAUGUUGACCUCGGAUCAGGUAGGAAUACCCGCUGA